GAUGAACGCUGGCGGCGUGCCUAAUACAUGCAAGUCGAGCGAACAGACGAGGAGCUUGCUCCUCUGACGUUAGCGGCGGACGGGUGAGUAACACGUGGAUAACCUACCUAUAAGACUGGGAUAACUUCGGGAAACCGGAGCUAAUACCGGAUAAUAUAUUGAACCGCAUGGUUCAAUAGUGAAAGACGGUUUUGCUGUCACUUAUAGAUGGAUCCGCGCCGCAUUAGCUAGUUGGUAAGGUAACGGCUUACCAAGGCAACGAUGCGUAGCCGACCUGAGAGGGUGAUCGGCCACACUGGAACUGAGACACGGUACAGACUCCUACGGGAGGAAGCAGUAGGGAAUCUUCCGCAAUGGGCGAAAGCCUGACGGAGCAACGCCGCGUGAGUGAUGAAGGUCUUCGGAUCGUAAAACUCUGUUAUUAGGGAAGAACAAAUGUGUAAGUAACUAUGCACGUCUUGACGGUACCUAAUCAGAAAGCCACGGCUAACUACGUG
RNAcentral lists this ribosomal RNA (497 nucleotides) under uncultured bacterium. Its description in RNAcentral is "partial 16S ribosomal RNA". It matches the Rfam family "Bacterial small subunit ribosomal RNA", at positions 28 to 507 of the family's 1533-position model. The record is from RNAcentral.